RNAcentral lists this ribosomal RNA (253 nucleotides) under uncultured bacterium. RNAcentral's name for it is "partial 16S ribosomal RNA". It matches the Rfam family "Bacterial small subunit ribosomal RNA", at positions 524 to 776 of the family's 1533-position model. The record is from RNAcentral.
UACGAAGGGGGCUAGCGUUGCUCGGAAUGACUGGGCGUAAAGGGCGCGUAGGCGGCUUGCACCGUCAGAUGUGAAAUUCCUGGGCUUAACCUGGGGGCUGCAUUUGAUACGUGUGGGCUUGAGCGCGGAAGAGGGUCGUGGAAUUCCCAGUGUAGAGGUGAAAUUCGUAGAUAUUGGGAAGAACACCGGUGGCGAAGGCGGCGACCUGGUCCGUGACUGACGCUGAGGCGCGAAAGCGUGGGGAGCAAACAGG